This 803-nucleotide ribosomal RNA is filed under the name uncultured bacterium. RNAcentral describes it as "bacterial SSU rRNA". It matches the Rfam family "Bacterial small subunit ribosomal RNA", at positions 8 to 809 of the family's 1533-position model. The record is from RNAcentral.
AGAGUUUGAUCCUGGCUCAGGAUGAACGCUGGCGGCGUGCUUAACACAUGCAAGUCGAACGAAGCACUUUGAUCGAUUUUUUCGGAUUGAAAUUUUAGUGACUGAGUGGCGGACGGGUGAGUAACGCGUGGGUAACCUGCCUCACACAGGGGGAUAACAGUUGGAAACGGCUGCUAAUACCGCAUAAGCGCACAGUACCGCAUGGUACAGUGUGAAAAACUCCGGUGGUGUGAGAUGGACCCGCGUCUGAUUAGCUAGUUGGCAGGGCAACGGCCUACCAAGGCGACGAUCAGUAGCCGACCUGAGAGGGUGACCGGCCACAUUGUGACUGAGACACGGCCCAAACUCCUACGGGAGGCAGCAGUGGGGAAUAUUGCACAAUGGGGGAAACCCUGAUGCAGCGACGCCGCGUGAGCGAAGAAGUAUUUCGGUAUGUAAAGCUCUAUCAGCAGGGAAGAAGAAAUGACGGUACCUGACUGAGAAGCACCGGCUAAAUACGUGCCAGCAGCCGCGGUAAUACGUAUGGUGCAAGCGUUAUCCGGAUUUACUGGGUGUAAAGGGAGCGUAGACGGCGCAGCAAGUCUGAUGUGAAAGGCAGGGGCUUAACCCCUGGACUGCAUUGGAAACUGCUGUGCUUGAGUGCCGGAGGGGUAAGCGGAAUUCCUAGUGUAGCGGUGAAAUGCGUAGAUAUUAGGAGGAACACCAGUGGCGAAGGCGGCUUACUGGACGGUAACUGACGUUGAGGCUCGAAAGCGUGGGGAGCAAACAGAAAGAGAUACCCUGGUAGUCCACGCCGUAAACGA